AGAGUUUGAUCAUGGCUCAGAACGAACGCUGGCGGCGUGCUUAACACAUGCAAGUCGAGUGCGCGGUGGGGUAGCAAUACUCGUACUGGCGCACGGCGCACGGGUGCGUAACACGUGGGCAAUCUGCCCUCCGAUGGGGAAUAACUCCGGGAAACCGAAGCUAAUUCCGCAUAACAUUCCCUGGACUCCGGUUCGGGGAUUCAAAGCCGCAAGGCGUCGGAGGAGGAGCCCGCGCCCGAUUAGCUAGUUGGUGAGGUGAUGGCUCACCAAGGCAAUGAUCGGUAGCUGGUCUGAGAGGAUGGCCAGCCACACUGGAACUGAGACACGGUCCAGACUCCUACGGGAGGCAGCAGUGGGGAAUCUUGCGCAAUGGGCGAAAGCCUGACGCAGCGACGCCGCGUGGGGGAUGAAGCUUCUCGGAGUGUAAACCCCUUUCGACUGGGACGAAUGCCUCGCAAGAGGAGUGACGGUACCAGUAGAAGAAGCCCCGGCUAACUACGUGCCAGCAGCCGCGGUAAGACGUAGGGGGCCAGCGUUGUUCGGAAUUACUGGGUGUAAAGGGUUCGUAGGCGGUGUGGCAAGUCGGGAGUGAAAUCUAUGGGCUUAACUCAUAGUCUGCUUCCGAAACUGCUGUGCUGGAGUGUGGGAGAGGCGCGUGGAAUUGCAGGUGUAGCGGUGAAAUGCGUAGAUAUCUGCAGGAACACCCGUGGCGAAAGCGGCGCGCUGGACCACUACUGACGCUGAGGAACGAAAGCUAGGGGAGCAAACAGGAUUAGAUACCCUAGUAGUCC
RNAcentral lists this ribosomal RNA (791 nucleotides) under uncultured bacterium. RNAcentral describes it as "bacterial SSU rRNA". It matches the Rfam family "Bacterial small subunit ribosomal RNA", at positions 8 to 796 of the family's 1533-position model. The record is from RNAcentral.